Non-coding RNA from Rhinolophus ferrumequinum (greater horseshoe bat), 611 nucleotides. The record is from the annotation of a RefSeq genome assembly. Lineage: Eukaryota; Metazoa; Chordata; Mammalia; Chiroptera; Rhinolophidae.
GCCAGAAGAGAUCCAAACUCAUUAAGAGAAACCUCUUUCUAACAGUUAUUGAAACUGGUGAAAGCAAGGGGCUUAUCCAGCCCAGCCUCUCCCCCGGUCCUACAGCUCCAAAGGCUCAGUGACCUCAGCUACUGUCCUCGCUGCUCAGGGGCCUGCAGCCCUUCUACUGCUCAGACAUGCUCCUGCUGCUCAUCCCAGUGCUGGAGACGAUUUUUGCCCUGAGAGGAGCCAACGCCCAGUUAGUGACCCAGCAGGACCGCCAUGUCACUGUCACUGAAGGAGCCUCACUAGAGCUGAAGUGCAACUAUACAUAUUCUAGUUCACCAUAUCUCUUCUGGUACGUGCAGUACCCCAACCAAGGACUCCAGUUUCUCCUCAACUACUUUUCAGGGGACACCCUGGUUAAAGGCAUCAAAGAUUUUGAGGCUGAAUUUAGGAAGGAUGAAACUUCCUUCCACCUAAAGAAAUCUUCAGCUAGUUGGAGAGACUCAGCUGUGUACUUCUGUGCGAUAAGUGACACAGUGACUGAGACUGCAGGGGGAGCUGAGCACAAACCUUCUGAGACACCGGGACUUGCUGUGACUCAAGAACUGAGCCUGGGGAGUUUUUAA